GAUGAACGCUGGCGGCGUGCCUAAUACAUGCAAGUCGAGCGAACAGAUAAGGAGCUUGCUCCUUUGACGUUAGCGGCGGACGGGUGAGUAACACGUGGGUAACCUACCUAUAAGACUGGAAUAACUCCGGGAAACCGGGGCUAAUGCCGGAUAACAUGUUGAACCGCAUGGUUCUACAGUGAAAGGCGGCUUUGCUGUCACUUAUAGAUGGACCCGCGCCGUAUUAGCUAGUUGGUGAGGUAACGGCUCACCAAGGCAACGAUACGUAGCCGACCUGAGAGGGUGAUCGGCCACACUGGAACGGAGACACGGACCAGACUCCUACGGGAGGCAGCAGUAGGGAAUCUUCCGCAAUGGGCGAAAGCCUGACGGAGCAACGCCGCGUGAGUGAUGAAGGUCUUCGGAUCGUAAAACUCUGUUAUUAGGGAAGAACAAAUGCGUAAGUAACUGUGCGCGUCUUGACGGUACCUAAUCAGAAAGCCACGGCUAACUACGUG
RNAcentral lists this ribosomal RNA (497 nucleotides) under uncultured bacterium. RNAcentral's name for it is "partial 16S ribosomal RNA". It matches the Rfam family "Bacterial small subunit ribosomal RNA", at positions 28 to 507 of the family's 1533-position model. The record is from RNAcentral.